Numida meleagris (helmeted guineafowl) is the source of this 2158-nucleotide long non-coding RNA. RefSeq lists it as uncharacterized. The record is from RefSeq and is a predicted model, not a curated record. The transcript has 2 exons. NCBI's taxonomy places the organism in Eukaryota, Metazoa, Chordata, Aves, Galliformes, Numididae.
UUCAUUUUGAUUUAAUAUCAGGUAGAGAACAGCAUUGCAGAUUCCGUUAAUUUUGAAUACAGACAUUAGGAAGGCUAGUGGUAAAUCUCACUCUGAUAUGAAGUCAGCUUAUGAUUUCACAUGCCUCAGAAAAAAUAGUAUUCUCAGUUUUUUUAAAAAAAAAAUAUUCAUUUUCCAUGAGGGAAUAAAUAAGGAAUAUACACCCCCCACAGGAUUUCCUCAUUUUAAGCAAAUUUUCUCACUCCAUUGUCUCAAAGAAUAUGACUACUCUCCCAUGUAAUUAUGAUAUAGGAAACAAAUCUAGUUACAGACACCAGAGUUAUGACUUUGUUUCUUCAUUCUGCAUGUGUACUUAUGUCAAAAGCUGCAAAUUCUUUAAUUGUAAGAGUUGACAAGAGCUUAAGAGCUGUAGUAGAUCAUCUCAUAUGCUAUAUUUUAGUAUACAAAUUAAACUGAAUUCAGGAGGGUCAUGCAAAGAAAAGUUGUAGGUAAUGCUGUUGAAGGUGCAGUUCCACAAGAACCACCUUUAUCCAUGGAAAUAAUGUUGCAUCCAUAUUUCUGAGAGAGAAAGCAAGUAUUGUGCUGAUAUAUCAGGGCUUUGUUUGAUUAAAAAAAAUGCCAUUUGCAAGUACUCUUAGUAGCACUAAAUUAGGUAAAACAGCACUUAAUCAAUAUUCUAAUAUGAAAAUUCAGUAACCCAGAGUGAAGGGCUUUCUGUGGGUAGGCUCAAAGACAGCAAAACAAUUCUCUACAGUUUUGCAAAUGUGAGUGUCAGUUCUGGGAUUUCACCAUUUUUUGCUAUGGUAAAAUGAAUGUAACAAUGCCUGAUGAGAAGCUUAAGGCUUGAUUCAGGAGAUGAAGAAAUGCAAGAUACUACUGAUGUGUGGUUGGACUGGGGGGGUUAGGAGGGUUGUUACUGCAGCAUUUCUCAUGGCAACACAAACUUCUGUCUAGUCUACAAACUUAAGAUCUCUUAGCUUUAAGGGUCCCACUUCAGGUUUAUGAGCUAAGGCCUUUGCAGCCAUGCAAGUGCUUCCUAAUUGUUGAUCAACUUCUUGUGUGUGUGAUUCUUUGGGAAAGUGCUGAAAUUAUGUCUCUGGAAAGCAUUCAUUUUCAGCAAAACAGUAGUCAUGUAAGCUGCCAUGGAUCAAUUCAUCAAGAACAAACAGCUUGGAAGGUUCAUAUCUGCAGUGUCUGCUCAAGUAAUAUCCUACAAGAAUUACGAAUGCAUUUGCAAGAGAAAUUGGGUAGUUCAUAAAGGCAUUGACGCAUCACAUCAGGUGUUCAUAACCACUUUCUAAAUGUGCAUUUAAGUGAGAUUCCCUGCAUUAAGAAACAAUUUGUAAUGGUUCAUUUAUUUUUUGACUGCAGCUAGGUCUUGUCAGUGUGACUUUGUUUUACAAAGACUGCAAGCCUAUAACUUAAUACCAAAUAUACUAACUCCAAAUACUCUAGAACAGCACGAUAUUCAGCACUUGGCUCAUCUGUCAGAUUCAGUAUUACAAAUCAGAAGUAUCUUGCCAGUUAAGAUGUGGCUCAUGAGUUAUUUUCUUUAAAAGCUCUCAUUAUGUAAAAGACUAAAGCUCGGUAGUCAGAAUUUCUUUUGGGCCAUUGAUUUGCACGUUAUUUAAAAGGGACCACAGCCCCCUUCUCUCCUCAUUUUGUUAUAUGCUAAAGCUAUGUUAUAUAGUUUCUUGUACACUAAGUAAAAAUUUUAAAGUAUCUCUCACUAACUAAGGUUUUAUUUUCUUAGCACUAAGAUGCUUGAUGAAACACUCCUAGUCAGAAAGAUCUGGGACAAAAUAUCUUGUUUCUGUAAACGUGAGAAGGAGAAAUCUAUGCCUGGCUAUUCAAGCACACCUCUAAGGGAGAAGAGGACCACUGUGGCUAGUUUAUGAAGCUAAAUACAGUACUAAGAGUGCUGUUACAUUGUGUGACCAUGUGACCAGGCCUGGAUUUCUGCACGUGGAGGACAGCAGUUCUUCAAAAGAGAAAAUCAAAAGGCAGGAGAUGGCAGCUGAACUUCCUGGGUUCUUUACAAACCUUCAUCACAAAAUCCCUUUAAAUGAAACUGGAAUUCUUGUUCCAUUUCAAAUGCAAUGAAUGAUUUUGUAGCAAGUUCUUCUGAGGGUUCUAUAAAUAUACAGCGUAAAUUAAA